This 253-nucleotide ribosomal RNA is filed under the name uncultured bacterium. Its description in RNAcentral is "partial 16S ribosomal RNA". It matches the Rfam family "Bacterial small subunit ribosomal RNA", at positions 524 to 776 of the family's 1533-position model. The record is from RNAcentral.
UACAGAGGGUGCAAGCGUUGUUCGGAAUUAUUGGGCGUAAAGGGCGCGUAGGCGGUGCGGUAAGUCUGUAGUGAAAUCUCUGGGCUCAACUCAGAGUCUGCUGCAGAAACUGCCGUGCUUGAGUGUGGGAGAGGUGAGUGGAAUUCCCGGUGUAGCGGUGAAAUGCGUAGAGAUCCGGAGGAACACCAGUGGCGAAGGCGACACGCUGGGCCGUACCUGACACUGAUGCGCGACAGCAUGGGGAGCAAACAGG